CUGACAGAGGCUAAUCUCCAUAUGAAAAGGGAAUUUGACUUAGAGAAUGGACCUUCAAUUGAGGGAAUAAUUGUAGCAGUUUCAGUUUUUGGGGCCAUUGUGAUUACAAUAUUCUCUGGAUCACUAUUGGAUUGGCUUGGGAGACGUGUUGUAUUGAUUCACUCAUCUCUGCUAUUAUUUUUCGGUGGCGUCCUUAUGCUGUGGUCUCCUAAUAUCUACAUUCUACUCCUAGCUAGGCUAAUUGUUGGAUCAGGAAGUGGCUUGGUUUUCACCUGUGUCCCAAUUUAUAUCUCAGAAACAUCUUCUCCAGAUAUGCGGGGAUCACUGGGAACUAUGCCACAGUUCAUGUUCAUCGUUGGAAUAAUCUUUUCCUAUUGCAUGAUAUUUUGGAUGACACUGGUGUCUUCUCCUAACUGGAGAUGUAUGAUUGGCUCAGCCUUUGCUCCUUCCACUCUCUACUUUGCUUUAUUGGUGUUCUACUUGCCAGAGUCGCCUAGGUGGCUUGUAAGCGAUGGAAAAAAUAGCCAAGCCAGAGUUUCUUUACAGUGGCUUAGAGGGAAGGAUGAUGUUUCAGGUGAGAUUGUCACCAACAACUUCAAAAGAUCUAUUCACAUUUUACUGUAUUCAGCUGAAGAUGGCUGGUUCUGA
Molecule: ribosomal RNA, 648 nt
Filed under: Triticum aestivum (bread wheat)
Lineage: Eukaryota; Viridiplantae; Streptophyta; Magnoliopsida; Poales; Poaceae
Description: partial small subunit ribosomal RNA
Source: RNAcentral